GGUGGAUGCCUAAAAACUAGCCAGAGUGGACCAGCAGGCCAUGGGGGAGUCCCUUUUCCCCCAAGCACUACCAGGAGUAACAAGGAACAAUGGCCAUAAGUUGACCGAGAGUAGAUUCAGGCUAG
Long non-coding RNA from Gavialis gangeticus (Gharial), 125 nucleotides. RefSeq lists it as uncharacterized. The record is from RefSeq and is a predicted model, not a curated record. NCBI's taxonomy places the organism in Eukaryota, Metazoa, Chordata, Crocodylia, Gavialidae. The transcript is spliced from 3 exons.